UGGAGGUGGCGACUGGAUGGACUGAAGUGCCAAACGCAAAUUGACGAUUGUGUAUAGCGCCCGUUACCGGUGCGGCUUUAGUAGGUAACUACACAGGCAUAUGCUGGGUGUGGGCUACUGCGAUGUGCGGAAUAUGCGAUUGCACACGACACCAACGCGCAUCGGCAAAAGUGCGGCGUAUGUUUUGAAUCGUUUGCACUCUCCCAGAGCCACUAGAAAUUACCUAUAAAAGUGUACCGGCUCGCCACUGUCUGUAUCAUUCGGAAGCUGCAGUAUUUGUUUGCAAGUUGGAAAGCGUAUCAAACAGCUGGUAAAAGCAACCUACAUAGGUGCAGUUGUAAGUGCGAGAGUAACAACGACAGAACAUUAUCGAAAUGCCGUGCAAGUGCUGUGGAAAAGAUUGUAAGUGCACUACGUGCUGUGGUGUAGAUAAACCAUGCGAGCCAGGCUGCACCUGCAAUUGUGCAUGUAAAACGGGCAAAGAUAGUGAUCAUUCAGCAGGAUGCUGCAAAAAGUGAUGCAAACGAAGUGUGAUGCGAAAACACGCUUUAAAUUGUUUAUUUAAGUUAUUCUAUUGUUAGAUAAUAAGAGUGAGUGAAUAAAACUUAAGAAAUACACAGUAAAAA
Molecule: long non-coding RNA, 626 nt
Organism: Topomyia yanbarensis
Lineage: Eukaryota; Metazoa; Arthropoda; Insecta; Diptera; Culicidae
Exons: 2
Source: RefSeq, a predicted model, not a curated record